GGACUGUAGCUCAGUGGCAGAGCACUUGCCUGGCAUGUGUGAGGCACUGGGUUCGAUCCUCAGCACCA
This 68-nucleotide transfer RNA is filed under the name Marmota monax (woodchuck). RNAcentral describes it as "tRNA.Ala". The stretch from base 5 to 65 matches the Rfam family "tRNA", at positions 6 to 65 of the family's 71-position model. Rfam says of the family: Transfer RNA (tRNA) molecules are approximately 80 nucleotides in length. Lineage: Eukaryota; Metazoa; Chordata; Mammalia; Rodentia; Sciuridae. The record is from RNAcentral.